AUGACGGCAGCUCAGCAUCGAUCUGAAUGGUGGACGGUCGCGAAGGAGGAGGACGGAGGCGACGGAGUGUCAUAAAAGUGAUCAAGUGCUACUAAACGGCUGCUGUGCAGAACAACAGAGCUGGCAGAGCCGGGGUAACGGGCGCCAGAGAGAGAGGGAGCCAGGAGGACGAGCGGGGCUCCAGGCCUCACCGACGGUCCUGCAGCGCUCGCGUGCAGACAGCGAGUGCGUUUGGACGCAGUAAUUACACCUGACAACUGGCCUCCGAGGAAGAACCUCCACUGGUGUUUGUUGUUUGGAUGGAGGCAGAGCGAGAAGGUGUCGGAGCGGAAAGACAUGCGAGCGAAGGAGGAAAAGCUCGACGGAACCCGACAGCAAUAGGAAGCAUCCACAACAACCACCUCCCUGAGAAAAGACAUCUGAACAGCUGAAACUCAUCAAUGUCAUUUUAAGGAAAAUGUCCUUUGUUUUGUAUUCAACAUAUUUUGUCCCAAAAAACAACAACAAAAGAAAUAAAGAGCCAUAAAGAGAGAGGGUAGUGUGUCA
RNAcentral lists this long non-coding RNA (546 nucleotides) under Betta splendens (Siamese fighting fish). RNAcentral's name for it is "lncRNA (ENSBSLG00000001238.1)". Lineage: Eukaryota; Metazoa; Chordata; Actinopteri; Anabantiformes; Osphronemidae. The record is from RNAcentral.